RNAcentral lists this transfer RNA (77 nucleotides) under bacterium. RNAcentral describes it as "tRNA-Lys". It matches the Rfam family "tRNA". From Rfam's summary of the family: Transfer RNA (tRNA) molecules are approximately 80 nucleotides in length. Their secondary structure includes four short double-helical elements and three loops (D, anti-codon, and T loops). The record is from RNAcentral. RNAcentral also lists the same sequence under 2 other names.
GGGUCGGUAGCUCAACUGGUUAGAGUAGCGGCCUUUUAAGCCGCGGGUUCUGGGUUCGAGUCCCAGCCGACCUACCA